CCAAUAGCGUAUAUUAAAGUUGUUGCAGUUAAAAAGCUCGUAGUUGAAUUUCGGAAUCUGUCCGUUGGUCGGGCUUCAUUGUCCGUACUGGUGUGAUGGGUUCUUACCUUCUGAAUAACCAGCAUGCCAUUCAUUUGGUGCGCUGGGGAAGCAGGACUAUUACCUUGAAAAAAUUAGAGUGCUCAAAGCAGGCUAGUGCCUGAAUACAUUAGCAUGGAAUAAUAAAAUAGGACGGCAUGGUUCUAUUUUGUUGGUUUCUAGGAUCACCGUAAUGAUUAAUAGGGAUAGUUGGGGGCAUUAGUAUUCAAUUGUCAGAGGUGAAAUUCUUGGAUUUAUUGAAGACUAACUUCUGCGAAAGCAUUUGCCAAGGAUGUUUUCAGUAAUCAAGAACGAAAGUUAGGGGAUCGAAGACGAUCAGAUACCGUCGUAGUCUUAACCAUAAACUAUGCCGACUAGGGAUCGGACGAUGCUAAUUUUUUAAUGACUCGUUCGGCGCCUUACG
RNAcentral lists this ribosomal RNA (502 nucleotides) under uncultured Glomeromycotina. RNAcentral describes it as "partial small subunit ribosomal RNA". It matches the Rfam family "Eukaryotic small subunit ribosomal RNA", at positions 591 to 1092 of the family's 1831-position model. Lineage: Eukaryota; Fungi; Glomeromycota. The record is from RNAcentral.